This 253-nucleotide ribosomal RNA is filed under the name uncultured bacterium. Its description in RNAcentral is "partial small subunit ribosomal RNA". It matches the Rfam family "Bacterial small subunit ribosomal RNA", at positions 26 to 285 of the family's 1533-position model. The record is from RNAcentral.
AGGACGAACGCUGGCGGCGUGCUUAACACAUGCAAGUCGAGCGGAAAGGCCCUUCGGGGUACUCGAGCGGCGAACGGGUGAGUAACACGUGAGCAACCUGCCCCUGGCUCUGGGAUAGCCUCCGGAAACGGGGAUUAAUACCGGACAUGACCUGCUGCCGCAUGGUGGCGGGUGGAAAGUUUUUCGGCCAGGGUGGGCUCGCGGCCUAUCAGCUUGUUGGGGGGGUGACGGCCCACCAAGGCGACGACGGGUA